Molecule: transfer RNA, 95 nt
Filed under: Streptomyces thermoviolaceus subsp. apingens
Lineage: Bacteria; Bacillati; Actinomycetota; Actinomycetes; Kitasatosporales; Streptomycetaceae
Also listed under: 1 other name
Description: tRNA-Pro
Source: RNAcentral
CCUCGCGCCGGGUACCGGCGUGCAGCACAUAGGCGUGCGGGGCGUCCUGGGCGGCGACCUCGUCCAGGCCGGUGAUCGGGUCGCCGGUGCGGGGG